This 546-nucleotide ribosomal RNA is filed under the name uncultured bacterium. RNAcentral describes it as "bacterial SSU rRNA". It matches the Rfam family "Bacterial small subunit ribosomal RNA", at positions 777 to 1322 of the family's 1533-position model. The record is from RNAcentral.
AAUAGAUACCCCGGUAGUCCACCCCGUAAACGUUGGGAACUAGUUGUGGGGUCCUUUCCACGGAUUCCGUGACGCAGCUAACGCAUUAAGUUCCCCGCCUGGGGGAGUACGGCCGCAAGGCUAAAACUCAAAGGAAUUGACGGGGACCCGCACAAGCGGCGGAGCAUGCGGAUUAAUUCGAUGCAACGCGAAGAACCUUACCAAGGCUUGACAUACACCAGAACACCCUGGAAACAGGGGACUCUUUGGACACUGGUGAACAGGUGGUGCAUGGUUGUCGUCAGCUCGUGUCGUGAGAUGUUGGGUUAAGUCCCGCAACGAGCGCAACCCUCGUUCUAUGUUGCCAGCACGUAAUGGUGGGAACUCAUGGGAUACUGCCGGGGUCAACUCGGAGGAAGGUGGGGAUGACGUCAAAUCAUCAUGCCCCUUAUGUCUUGGGCUUCACGCAUGCUACAAUGGCCGGUACAAUGGGCUGCGAUACCGUAAGGUGGAGCGAAUCCCAAAAGCCGGUCCCAGUUCGGAUUGAGGUCUGCAACUCGACUCAUG